This 63-nucleotide transfer RNA is filed under the name Spinolyprops cribricollis. RNAcentral's name for it is "tRNA-Ile". The record is from RNAcentral. Lineage: Eukaryota; Metazoa; Arthropoda; Insecta; Coleoptera; Tenebrionidae.
AAUGAAAUGCCUGAAAAAAGGAUUAUUUUGAUAGAAUAAAUCAUGUGAAUUUCACUUUCAUUA